CGCGGCCUAUCAGCUUGUUGGUGGGGUAGUGGCCUACCAAGGCGGCGACGGGUAGCCGGCCUGAGAGGGUGACCGGCCACAUUGGGACUGAGAUACGGCCCAGACUCCUACGGGAGGCAGCAGUGGGGGAUAUUGCACAAUGGGCGCAAGCCUGAUGCAGCAACGCCGCGUGCGGGAUGACGGCCUUCGGGUUGUAAACCGCUUUCAGCAGGGACGAAGCUUUUUGUGACGGUACCUGCAGAAGAAGCACCGGCUAACUACGUGCCAGCAGCCGCGGUGAUACGUAGGGUGCGAGCGUUGUCCGGAUUUAUUGGGCGUAAAGGGCUCGUAGGCGGUUGAUCGCGUCGGAAGUGGAAACUUGAUGCUUAACGUUGAGCGUGCUUUCGAUACGGGUUGACUUGAGGAAGGUAGGGGAGAAUGGAAUUCCUGGUGGAGCGGUGGAAUGCGCAGAUAUCAGGAGGAACACCAGUGGCGAAGGCGGUUCUCUGGACCUUUCCUGACGCUGAGGAGCGAAAGCGUGGGGAGCGAACAGGCUUAGAUACCCUGGUAGUCCACGCUGUAAACGGUGGGUACUAGGUGUGGGGUCCAUUCCACGGAUUCUGUGCCGUAGCUAACGCAUUAAGUACCCCGCCUGGGGAGUACGG
Molecule: ribosomal RNA, 644 nt
Filed under: uncultured bacterium
Lineage: Bacteria
Description: bacterial SSU rRNA
Rfam family: Bacterial small subunit ribosomal RNA
Source: RNAcentral